RNAcentral lists this unclassified non-coding RNA (2934 nucleotides) under Leishmania donovani. RNAcentral's name for it is "gene:LdHU3.30.0640(CDS-product:eukaryotic_transla tion_initiation_factor_4E_putative)". The record is from RNAcentral. Lineage: Eukaryota; Euglenozoa; Kinetoplastea; Trypanosomatida; Trypanosomatidae.
UUACGCGAGUCACCAGUCGCCACGCGCAAUCACAACGGCGCCGUCUUCACUUGCAUCUGCAUCUUUUCGCUGCGCGUGGCUGCUUGUGUGUGCGUGCGCCUCCGACCUCCAUUCUCGGUGCCUCUCACUUUCCCCGCCUCCACCGUCGGCUGUGCUGGUGUGGGUUUCUCUCCUGUUCUACACUCUUCGCGUUUUUGUAUCUUAUCGACGGCGCUCUGGCCCGCUGCCGCACCCGCUGCGCCAAUGUCUACCCCUCUCGAUGUGAGGGCCGCCGAGUACAGCCCUUCCUUCGCUGUCACGAUGAAAAAGACGGCGGCUGCGGCGCCGCCAAGGUUGCCGGCUCCGGCCAAGUCAAAGAUCAGCGUGACUCGCACUGGCGUCAACACCACGUACCCGAUGCCGCCGCCGCCGCCGCCGAUGCCAGAGAAAAACUACGCGCCCUUUUUCGCGGCGGGGUGCCAGACGUUUGCCGCAUCCAAGGCGUGGAUGCCCCCUCUGCAACCUGCGUCUCCGCUGCCACCCAUGCAUUCAGCACCCCCGACUGCCUCCGUGGUGUCGAACUCGAUCCCGCCUUCGUCCCCUGCAACGGCGCCAGGUGAGCGUAGCCCCGCUGUUGCGGCACGCAGUGUGCCGACCCGCUUUAGUCCUGCCACGGUCCCGCGCCACCACAUGAACCCCAACGCCACGGAGUUCAUGCCGGGGCGGCGCAACGGCCCGGACGGCGGGCUUGAGGCGCUGCCCACGUCCACGGCGGACAUGGAGCUUGCCAAGACUCCCGCUGGAGCCGCUGCCGCUGCUGUCCACGCGCCGUCGCUGCCCGGUGCGGCGCGCCGCAGCCUCCAGAACUCUCCCAUCAUCCAGCCCUCUCGUCUGAGCGCCAAGAGCGCCUCUGAGAUCGAGGCCAUUAGCAAAAACAGUGCCCUGAAUGCAGCUGCCGCCGCCUACGUGCCGCAGCGCACCCUGGCGCGUGUGGUGCUGACACAGCCAUCCCCGCUUGCCCUCGCCCCCUCUGAGGACCCGGCCAAGGACAAUAUCGAGAUGAUGCUGGACGAUCUUUGGUGUCUCUUCUACCUUCCCACCACGCUGGGCGAGAACAUUAAGGAAGAGGACUACAACCCCACGUUGGUAUUCCGCGUGGACAGUAUCCUGACCUUCUGGAGGGUGGUGAACAACAUCGCGGCCCCAUCCGAGCUGCAGCUCAGCACGCUGUAUCUCUUCCGGGACGGCAUCGACCCCAAGUGGGAAGACCCCGCGAACCGAGAUGGCGGCAUCGUGAAAGUGAAGGCGACUGCUGCCCAGGUCGAUGAGGCGUGGGAGCUGCUGCUGUGCCGCACCAUCGGAGACUCGUGGUCCCCAUCGGUGCGCGAGACCGUCAACGGUGUGGUGUUGAAGGUCCGCGAGCGCGCCUACUGGCUGGAGUUGUGGGUCACCAAGAACUCGAGUGCGCUGCAGAAGGACCUCGCCGAGCUCUGGCACCCGAUCCUCGGCGCCUCCUUCGCGACCACGUAUCUGACACACGCCAUGAUGCAGGAGCGCUCCCACGCCGCUGCCGCCUUAGCUGCCGAAAAGCAGAAAAAGAACCGUCGGCGCUACUAAGCUGCAGCGCCUGUGGGCUCCCCUGUUUUGCCGCGGUGAGGGGCGGGGAGGAGAGGUCUGUGGCGUCGCAUCUGCGCGUCGUGGCCAUCUUUGACAAUCACGUGCACUCUCUCUCUCUCUCUGUGCGUGUGUGUCUGUGUGCACCUACAAGUAGCUGUCCGCAUCUCUCUCUGUUUUCGCUUCUUCUGUUUCUUUCUCCCGUCGCGCACGUUGAGCUUCCUUGCAUUCCCGCUUGCAGUGAGCUUGAGGCCCUGAUGGCGGUGUUGCUAUUCAGUGGGUGGGCUUGUGAUUUACGUGUUUCAGCUUCACCCCUUCCUUUCCGUGGCUUAUCGUUGGCUAUUCUCCUCCGACCCUCCACCCUCCUCGCGAUGCGACGCACACGGUGAUAGGGAGAGAGGAGAGGAAGACCAAUGCCUCAUUCGCCGUUAAUCGAUGAUGUGGCGGAAGCAGUGGCAGGCGGCAUGCGCGGCAUGGAGCGGUAGACUUCGUCUUUUCUUUACCGCUGCUCCUCUGUCUGUCUGUCUCUGUUGUUGGGGAAAGCGCCACAACUGCUUGAGGGUGAGCGUCAGCACAUCACCGCUCUCUCGCUCGCUCUCGCGCUCACUCCCUCUUGUGAUUCUUUUUGGUGUCUGCCUGCGGGUGUGUCUGGGCCGAGGGGAGCGCGAUGGUGACGGUGACGGUGGCUAGGUCAGCGGCAUUGCCGUGCUCUAUCCGCCCCCUCCUCUCUUCAUCCUCGACAUACACGAGAGAGGCGAAGGCAAAGCCGAGAAAGAACACCAGGAAAGAGAGAGGAGCGGGCGGGCGGGCCCACACGGCCGGAGGGCUCGUGCAGCGCGUGUGGCGUGGGAGGGGAGGCCGGCCCACCGGCCUUCGUAUCUUUUUCGAAUUUGAUAACAGUCUAAUACGCGAAAGGGCGCUUAUGCGAUUAAGAGCGUCACACAAAACAACAGACAACAACAGCAAAAAAAAAGCGACGCCGACAGACUAACCCAACGGCGCAGCACCACAUAGCCAGACGGAGGGAGGAGGAAAGGAGACGUGCGACCGUCCCGAUUACACAGCCCUGAAAACGUAUGAGCUGCCCGCCGACAGUUGACAGGGAGCGAGAGGGGUUUAGCAGCCGCAUGUGUAGGGGGCGCUAAUGCGCGUGUGCGAACAGGGCAGCGGUGCCCGCACGCACCUCUAUCGCUACAGCCUCCCUCACUCUCUGGUAUACGUGGCGACUGCCGUUCUGGGCUAUCGGAGCCUGUGUAGGUGCGUGUACCCGCGGAGGUCCCCUUUGGCGCAUGUACCGCAGGCGCUUGUACGAACGCACUUGCUUCCUCGCUUCCUUUUUUG